GAAUUCGCCCUUCGAACGAUCUCUUCGGAGAUAGUGGCGCGCGGGUGGUAACGCGUGGGAAUCUGCCCUUGGGUUCGGAAUAACGUCGGGAAACUGACGCUAAUACCGGAUGAUGACGUAAGUCCAAAGAUUUAUCGCCCAGGGAUGAGCCCGCGUAGGAUUAGCUAGUUGGUUGGGUAAAGGCUGACCAAGGCGACGAUCCUUAGCUGGUCUGAGAGGAUGAUCAGCCACACUGGGACUGAGACACGGCCCAGACUCCUACGGGAGGCAGCAGUAGGGAAUAUUGGACAAUGGGGGCAACCCUGAUCCAGCAAUGCCGCGUGAGUGAUGAAGGCCUUAGGGUUGUAAAGCUCUUUUACCCGGGAUGAUAAUGACAGUACCGGGAGAAUAAGCCCCGGCUAACUCCGUGCCAGCAGCCGCGGUAAUACGGAGGGGGCUAGCGUUGUUCGGAAUUACUGGGCGUAAAGCGCACGUAGGCGGCGAUUUAAGUCAGAGGUGAAAGCCCGGGGCUCAACCCCGGAAUAGCCUUUGAGACUGGAUUGCUUGAACAUCGGAGAGGUGAGUGGAAUUCCGAGUGUAGAGGUGAAAUUCGUAGAUAUUCGGAAGAACACCAGUGGCGAAGGCGGCUCACUGGACGAUUGUUGAAAGGGCGAAUUC
Molecule: ribosomal RNA, 657 nt
Filed under: uncultured Sphingomonas sp.
Lineage: Bacteria; Pseudomonadati; Pseudomonadota; Alphaproteobacteria; Sphingomonadales; Sphingomonadaceae
Description: bacterial SSU rRNA
Rfam family: Bacterial small subunit ribosomal RNA
Source: RNAcentral